CUCUUUGCAUGUAUUGAAGAAACCAAGUGCUCUCUGCCAAGUGAAUGUUAUUCAGACUCCAUCGUCACAGCCAACUCCACUCUGUGUCUCAAAUCCUCCGACAUACACGUUGAGCCACUCAACAAACAGCAGGAAAGCCGUCCACAAGGAGCCUUGGCCAGCAGAUCCUGAUGUCAUCAGACACUGCCUUCAUCUUCUUUCCUGAAUGACUGUGAACAUUCUCCAGUAGUCACUGGGAUUCCUCUACUGCAGCCAAGCUUAAUUGGGAGCAGCAUAAGAAUCUUAAUAGCAGCAUAAGAAAUGGGACAUCACUACUACACCAUCAUUUAUCAUUAUACAUCAAGGUUGUAACAAGCACAUAGUAAGCACCAAUUUGUAAAAAAAAAUAAUUGUGUUCAAGUUUUUUGGACAUGACCACCAGAAAACAGUAGUUAUUAACCUUACACAUUACUAAUUGUUUUACACACUGUAAAGCCUAACAUUUUAGUUUAACUUGUAAUUUAAAAAAAGUUACUUUGACUA
Long non-coding RNA from Danio aesculapii, 522 nucleotides. RefSeq lists it as uncharacterized. The transcript is spliced from 3 exons. NCBI's taxonomy places the organism in Eukaryota, Metazoa, Chordata, Actinopteri, Cypriniformes, Danionidae. The record is from RefSeq and is a predicted model, not a curated record.